This 25-nucleotide non-coding RNA is filed under the name Rattus norvegicus (Norway rat). The record is from RNAcentral. Lineage: Eukaryota; Metazoa; Chordata; Mammalia; Rodentia; Muridae.
UGAUACUUCGCAUUCAACCUACAAG